Molecule: ribosomal RNA, 468 nt
Filed under: uncultured bacterium
Lineage: Bacteria
Description: partial 16S ribosomal RNA
Rfam family: Bacterial small subunit ribosomal RNA
Source: RNAcentral
GAUGAACGCUGGCGGCGUGCUUAACACAUGCAAGUCGAACGGUGAAGGCGGAGCUUGCUCUGCUGGAUCAGUGGCGAACGGGUGAGUAACACGUGAGCAAUCUGCCCCUGACUCUGGGAUAAGCGCUGGAAACGGCGUCUAAUACUGGAUACGAGCUGCGAAGGCAUCUUCAGCAGCUGGAAAGAACUUCGGUCAGGGAUGAGCUCGCGGCCUAUCAGCUUGUUGGUGAGGUAACGGCUCACCAAGGCGUCGACGGGUAGCCGGCCUGAGAGGGUGACCGGCCACUCUGGGACUGAGACACGGCCCAGACUCCUACGGGAGGCAGCAGUGGGGAAUAUUGCACAAUGGGCGAAAGCCUGAUGCAGCAACGCCGCGUGAGGGACGACGGCCUUCGGGUUGUAAACCUCUUUUAGCAGGGAAGAAGCGAAAGUGACGGUACCUGCAGAAAAAGCGCCGGCUAACUACGUG